AUGGCGACCGGCGCACGGGUGAGUAACACGUAUCCAACCUGCCGAUAACUCGGGGAUAGCCUUUCGAAAGAAAGAUUAAUACCCGAUGGUAUAAUCAGACCGCAUGGUUUGAUUAUUAAAGAAUUUCGGUUAUCGAUGGGGAUGCGUUCCAUUAGGCAGUUGGUGAGGUAACGGCUCACCAAACCUUCGAUGGAUAGGGGUUCUGAGAGGAAGGUCCCCCACACUGGUACUGAGACACGGACCAG
This 245-nucleotide ribosomal RNA is filed under the name uncultured bacterium. RNAcentral describes it as "partial 16S ribosomal RNA". It matches the Rfam family "Bacterial small subunit ribosomal RNA", at positions 88 to 334 of the family's 1533-position model. The record is from RNAcentral.